ACAGGGAUUGCCCUAGUAACGGCGAGUGAAGCGGCAACAGCUCAAAUUUGAAAUCUGGCUCUUUCAGAGUCCGAGUUGUAAUUUGCAGAGGGCGCUUUGGCUUUGGCAGCGGUCCAAGUUCCUUGGAACAGGACGUCACAGAGGGUGAGAAUCCCGUACGUGGUCGCUAGCUAUUGCCGUGUAAAGCCCCUUCGACGAGUCGAGUUGUUUGGGAAUGCAGCUCUAAAUGGGAGGUAAAUUUCUUCUAAAGCUAAAUAUUGGCCAGAGACCGAUAGCGCACAAGUAGAGUGAUCGAAAGAUGAAAAGCACUUUGGAAAGAGAGUCAAACAGCACGUGAAAUUGUUGAAAGGGAAGCGCUUGCAGCCAGACUUGCUUGCAGUUGCUCAUCCGGGCUUUUGCCCGGUGCACUCUUCUGCAGGCAGGCCAGCAUCAGUUUGGGCGGUGGGAUAAAGGUCUCUGACACGUUCCUUCCUUCGGGUUGGCCAUAUAGGGGAGACGUCAUACCACCAGCCUGGACUGAGGUCCGCGCAUCUGCUAGGAUGCUGGCGUAAUGGCUGUAAGCGGCCCGUCUUGAAACACGGACCAAGGAGUCUAACAUCUAUGCGAGUGUUUGGGUGUCAAGCCCGAGCGCGUAAUGAAAGUGAACGGAGGUGGGAACCCGCAAGGGCGCACCAUCGACCGAUCCUGAAGUUUACGGAAGGAUUUGAGUAAGAGCAUGGCUGUUGGGACCCGAAAGAUGGUGAACUAUGCUUGAAUAGGGUGAAGCCAGAGGAAACUCUGGUGGAGGCUCGCAGCGGUUCUGACGUGCAAAUCGAUCGUCAAAUUUGGGCAUAGGGGCGA
RNAcentral lists this ribosomal RNA (840 nucleotides) under Curvularia hominis. RNAcentral describes it as "partial large subunit ribosomal RNA". It matches the Rfam family "Eukaryotic large subunit ribosomal RNA", at positions 68 to 926 of the family's 3401-position model. Lineage: Eukaryota; Fungi; Ascomycota; Dothideomycetes; Pleosporales; Pleosporaceae. The record is from RNAcentral.